GUCCAUGUGGCUCAGUUGGUAGAGCAUGGUGCUUGCAAUGCCAAGUUGUGUGUUCGAUUCCCACGGGGGACC
Molecule: transfer RNA, 72 nt
Filed under: Salmo salar (Atlantic salmon)
Lineage: Eukaryota; Metazoa; Chordata; Actinopteri; Salmoniformes; Salmonidae
Also listed under: 1 other name
Rfam family: tRNA
About the family: Transfer RNA (tRNA) molecules are approximately 80 nucleotides in length.
Source: Rfam by way of RNAcentral